Molecule: transfer RNA, 87 nt
Filed under: Alphaproteobacteria bacterium
Lineage: Bacteria; Pseudomonadati; Pseudomonadota; Alphaproteobacteria
Description: tRNA-Leu
Rfam family: tRNA
About the family: Transfer RNA (tRNA) molecules are approximately 80 nucleotides in length. Their secondary structure includes four short double-helical elements and three loops (D, anti-codon, and T loops).
Source: RNAcentral
GCGGCCGUGGCGGAAUUGGUAGACGCGCAGCGUUGAGGUCGCUGUGAGAUAAAACCCGAGGAAGUUCAAGUCUUCUCAGCCGCACCA